UUUUACUACGAGAGGCAAAGGAGUAGAUGGUAUCAUUAGACUUUGAGUACCUGAGUAUGAGCAGAAACAUAUCUUGAGAAAGUGCCACUCCGGUGCAUACGGAGGACACCAUGCUGGAGACAGUACUGCACAUAAGGCGAACUUCUCUCCAAAUGGGAAGGGCCAUAUGUCAUCAAAGAAGUUUGCAGUUUUGGAGCUAUGAAGAUAAAUCACGCUGAAGGAAACAAACUGAAGGUUGUUAAUGGGCAAAGACUUAAACACUAUAUUGCAGGUGUUGAAAGAUGGAAGGGGAGCCGACUGAGGCCAAGGACAAAC
Molecule: long non-coding RNA, 315 nt
Organism: Triticum dicoccoides
Lineage: Eukaryota; Viridiplantae; Streptophyta; Magnoliopsida; Poales; Poaceae
Exons: 3
Source: RefSeq, a predicted model, not a curated record